CGCAUCUGUGCAUGCAGCAUAUCAAUAAGCGGAGGAAAAGAAACUAACAAGGAUUCCCCUAGUAACGGCGAGUGAAGCGGGAAGAGCUCAAAUUUGAAAUCUUAAAGGGUUUCCCUUUACGAAUUGUAGUUUAAAGAAGUGUUUUCUGUUGAGGUUUUGGUAAAAGUUCUUUGGAAUAGGACAUCAUAGAGGGUGAGAAUCCCGUAUUUGACCUUUACUUUCAACUUUGUGAUACACUUUCAAAGAGUCGGAUUGUUUGGGAAUGCAGUCCAAAAUGGGUGGUAAAUUUCAUCUAAAGCUAAAUAUUGGCGAGAGACCGAUAGCGAACAAGUACCGUGAGGGAAAGAUGAAAAGAACUUUGAAAAGAGAGUUAAACAGUACGUGAAAUUGUCAAAAGGGAAGCGUUUGACACCAGUGUUGUUUUUCUGAAAAUCAAUUAAAGAACUGUUUAUGCUAAGUUGUUUAGACUUUAUCAGCUAACUGUUUAGUUUUGAGCUUUUCUUUAAUGCACUUUUCAGUUAACAAGUCAACAUCAAUUUCUUUUGCUGUAAAAAAGCUUGAGGAAGGUGGCUUGAGAUUCGUCUUAAGUGUUUAUAGCCUCUUGCCUAUGCAGUCGGAGAGAUUGAGGUCUGCAGCGUAGAUCCUUCGGGACUAAAUGCAUUUGUGCUAAGUUAUAACAUUUUAUAGACAACUUGUUGACUAUGAUUUGUCUUGUAGCUUACUCGCUUAUGUUAUUUUACCUACGCUUAGGAUGUUGACAGCAGUAUAGACUGU
RNAcentral lists this ribosomal RNA (774 nucleotides) under uncultured Neocallimastigales. RNAcentral's name for it is "partial large subunit ribosomal RNA". It matches the Rfam family "Eukaryotic large subunit ribosomal RNA", at positions 26 to 637 of the family's 3401-position model. The record is from RNAcentral. Lineage: Eukaryota; Fungi; Neocallimastigomycota; Neocallimastigomycetes; Neocallimastigales.